This is an RNA transcript of Trifolium pratense (red clover), 3788 nucleotides long. It is a transcript of the gene named putative pentatricopeptide repeat-containing protein At3g47840, with no coding region annotated. The record is from RefSeq and is a predicted model, not a curated record. The transcript is spliced from 5 exons. Lineage: Eukaryota; Viridiplantae; Streptophyta; Magnoliopsida; Fabales; Fabaceae.
CAGUUCACAACCUCACCGUGCAACCGCAUUCAACUCACUGUCGCCGUCGUUCUUGCUCGCCACCUAUUGAGCACCGAGUUAAUCCUUGUUUCUGUUUCUGCAUAAGUUCUUCCAGCUGGUGCAAAUUCCCUCAAAUCUGGUACAAAAAAUUUGUGAGUUUUACACGCAAGCCAGAGAAAGGAUGCAUGUUUUCCUGAAACUCUUCAACGGCCUUACGCGACGUGUUUUGGUGUAUCGCUGUUAUGCUUCUUCUCCUGGCCUUGCCCUUGCUGAUUCAUUUUAUAUCAAUGAAAACACUCUUCCAUGCUCAAGGAACCUCGAUCCACCACUCAAUUAUGUCUAUCCAGGAACUGCCACUGAAAGAAGAGAUAUGAUCUGGCAGGGGAAACUGGAAGAGCGAGCUCCAACUGCCUUUUAUGUGCCUAAUAUGCCUGAACUUAACUCUCAACUGAAGCAACUAAUGAAACUGGGAAAAAUUUGUGAAGCUAGGGAUAUGUUUAAUAGAAUGGCUCACAGAGAUGAGAUAUCAUGGACAAAUUUAAUAGCGGGUUAUGUCAAUGCUGCAGACUCGAAUGAAGCUUUGAUCUUAUUCUCAAAUAUGUGGGUCGACUCUGGACUUCAAAAGGAUCAAUUUGUGGUAAGUGUUGCCCUCAAGGCUUGUGCACUUGGCAUGAAUAUAUAUUUUGGAGAAUUAUUGCAUGGAUUUUCAGUGAAAUCUGGUUUGAUAAACUCUGUUUUUGUCAGCAGUGCCCUUGUAAACAUGUACAUGAAAGUAGGAAAAACAGAACAAGGUCGCAGUGUCUUUGAAAAAAUGACAACAAGAAAUGUAGUAUCAUGGACUGCAAUUAUUGUGGGGCUUGUACAUGCUGGUUACAGUUUGGAGGGACUGUUGUACUUUUCUGAAAUGUGGAGAUCAAAAGUGGGCUAUGAUUCACAUACAUUUGCCAUUGCUUUAAAGGCAUCUGCUGAUUCAGGUUUGUUGCAUUAUGGGAAAGCCAUACAUGCACAAACAAUAAAACAAGGGUUCAAUGAAACUGCGUUUGUUGUUAAUACUCUUGGUACCAUGUAUAAUAAAUGUGGAAAACCAGACUAUGUCAUGCAAUUAUUUGGAAAAACGAGGAUGCCAGAUGUAGUUUCAUGGACGAACCUUAUCACAACUUAUGUACAGAUGGGUGAAGAAGAACAAGCAUUGGAUGCAUUUAAAAGAUUCAGGAAAUCCAAUGUCAGUCCCAAUGAGUAUACUUUUGCAUCCAUAAUUUCUGCUUGUGCCAGUCUUGCUGUUACUGAAUGGGGGGAGCAAAUACAUGGCCAUGUAUUGCGUCUAGGUUUGGUAGAUGCCUUGUCGGUGGCAAAUUCCAUCAUCACUCUUUAUUCGAAAUGUGGGCUGUUACGGGAAGCUUCAUUGGUAUUUCAUGGUAUGACUAGGAAAGAUAUUAUUUCUUGGAGCACUAUAAUUUCUGUUUAUUCUCAAGGAAAUCACGCAAAAGAAGCUUUCAACUAUCUAUCAUGGAUGAGAAGGGAAGGACCGAAACCAAAUGAAUUUGCUCUUGCUAGUGUGCUGAGUGUUUGUGGAAGCAUGGCACUUCUGGAGCAAGGUAAGCAGGUGCAUGCUCAUGCCCUGGGCAUUGGCUUAGAUCAUGAAGCAAUGGUUCAUAGUGCUCUAAUUAGUAUGUAUUCAAGAAGUGGAAAUCUACAAGAGGCUUCAAAAGUUUUUAAUGGUAUAAACAUUAACGAUAUCAUAUCAUGGACUGCAAUGAUUAAUGGGUAUGCGGAACAUGGUUACAGCCAAGAGGCUAUUAGCUUGUUUGAGAAUAUUUCCCGUGUUGGUUUAACGCCGGACUAUGUGACGUUUAUUGGGGUUCUGACUGCUUGUAACCAUGCUGGAUUGGUUGAUCUUGGUUUCUACUACUUAAAGUUAAUGACUAAUGCGUACCGAAUCACUCCUUCAAAAGAGCACUACGGUUGCAUGAUUGAUCUUCUAUGCAGAGCAGGGCGGUUGAGUGAAGCUGAGCAUAUGGUACGAAACAUGCCAUUCCCUUGUGAUGAUGUUGUAUGGUCUACCUUACUCAGAGCAUGUAAGGAUCAUGGUGAUGUUGAUCGGGGAAGUUGGGCAGCAGAACAUAUACUUCGCUUGGAUCCAAAUUCUGCUGGAACUUACAUCACUAUUGCUAACAUAUAUUCUGCCAGUGGAAGAUGGAAGGAAGCGGCACAUUUCAGGAAGUUAAUGAAGUCAAAGGGAGUAAUAAAGGAGCCAGGAUGGUCUUGGAUUAAUGUCAAUGAUCAAUUAAAUACAUUUGUUGCUGGGGAUCAAUCUCAUCCGCUAAGUCAACAUAUAACAACCAUUUUGGAAUUACUAAGCACGAGUAUAGGAGAUGCUAGGCUGGAUUUAGGUUCUAUUGUAGAAGAUGUUGAAGAUUAGAAGAAGUUUUUACUUCAAUGGAGGAUGCUGCGUACACCUUUCUGUCAUCAAAGAAAAGGGCUUCUGAACAGGAGCUCAGCCGACACACUCCUCAUCACAAUGAGGAAGAUUCCCGUUGCCUUGCUACUGGAACUUUAAAGAGAGACAGUGAUGAGGUUCUGUUAUUCUACUCAAUCCCAUUCCAGAUCAAUCCAUUCACAAACACUCUACUCCCCUUCAAAACUCCUAAAGAUCUCCUUGAGUUGUAGAUGUUGACUCUAAUGCAUGUUAGAAGAUGGCUGGGGAGUAUUUAAAACAUGCAAUGGAUUUGAGUGGAUUGUUGCUUCUAUAUUGUUCUUUAUUGAGAUGCUGAAGGAAUAUUAAUACAUCCUUAAGAGCAAGGGAAGAACAAUGUUGCUGUGUGUGGAUUUGCAUCACUGAGGUUUGUUCAAACAAAUUAGCAGUGCUUUGUUCUCCAUGGUCGCAUUUUUCUGCAUGCUACCAUCACCUCGGUUUGUUGCUUUUUGUUUGCGCUUCCAAAUCUCUCGACUGUGAAGCUAGGUACGGAAUACCCUUUGCACAUGUUGUGUAUUAUACACAACCUAAACUGAUAGUUGUUUAUUGAAGAUAAUGUCUCUGAUUGUGGCACAUGGUCAAGUACAGUAACAAUUUACUAUAAUUUAUAACUUUUUUUUGACAAAUCGUUUAUAUUACCUAAAUUCUUCACCACUAAACUAAACAUAGUGGCUUUAUAGACAAACAUGGUUGUUAAAGAUAUAUUGGUAAAUAAUUUGUAUACAUAGUUUUUUCCUUGGUUUUGCUCCUUUCCACAUAUAAUGUUUACAUCUCAGUUUUGAAGUAGCAGAAGCAAUUGUUUACUUGAUAAUAAUGAGAACUUGCACGUCAAUUAGGAAAAUAUUCACAUAAAAAAAACCUUAUAAUUUACUUGUAUUUUUGUUGGAGCAAGUUGGUAGCUUCGAGGGAAACUUGGUAUAAAAAUAAACACAAGUGUUUUCAUAAGUGUAGCUCAAAUGGUAGUUAUAUCAGGGACAUUAUUGGAGUGGUCGGGGUUCGAACUUCGGAUUCCAAGUUUCUCCACAUUUGAAUGUGUGAGUCUUGCUAUUAGGUUACAUGACAAAAAAAAAUAAUAUUAAACACAAGUGUAGAACUAAGUGUGUAGUGUGAAUUGAGAAAAACUUAUUUUAAGUCACACAUUGGAGGAAACAAACCCCUUAUUAGUGUUUAUAUAUGAGAGGAUAGCUUCUUGGGAUGUGCACCAAGGGAUAUCCAAUUUUGUAAAUGGAGGAUUUCACAUACAAUGUUGGGUGUCACAUGCACCGCCAUCCGGUCGGAUCGGGUUUAGGCCUUGGUGACAUAUACAUUUUUUAAU